AGGGACAAAUUAAUUGAAUUGCAUUGUGUUAAUUUGUUUAUUUUUAGUGCAAGAGGUGGCCAUAAGAACUGUUUACGUGUAAAACAUUUAUUUGCCAUUUAAGGCAGAAUGUCUUUCACAAUAGCCAACAUUUUGAACACCAUAGGCUACCUAUAAUAGUAUUGUAGAAAAUUCCCCCAUCAUGUUCAGGGAGAACAACCGUGAUACAUCUUAGGAGGAAGGGAGACCCUAGCCUAAUAUGUCAAGAUCUUCAAAUUAUAAACCUGUGAAUUAAUAGGGAUAUUCAUUGACCUUUACAGGCAUAUAGGCCUAAAAAAAAGAGCAUGAUUAAUAACACAAGGGCUAUUAUUUGUAUUGCUGAAAGUCACACCCUUACAUUUUGUCAAAGAAGAGGUCUUAGGAUAAAGUGUAGGUUUCCAUUGGAGGAUAAGACAUGUGGUUUUGGGGAUGCGCCUUUUUGACCUGACGUCACACGGUGGGGGUAUAAAAUCCCAUAGAUUUGUCCUCCAGUCAUUCACCGUGAAAAAGCCAUCGACAGGACAGUCACACUAAGCGGCUGAGAAAGAAACCGACAACAAAAUGGUUAAAAUGGUGAUGGCUUACAUUGGAUUCUUUCUCCUUGCCUUGCCUUGUUCAUCACAGGUCCACGCGCAAAACAGUACCACAAAAUCCCCAACCAUCACUGCUAUGACCGAAGCUGGCGACGCGAGUUCCAACAUGACCAAGAUGCCCGAUCUUGUCGCUACCAAGAACAUCACCAUACCCAAAGGAGCCAGUGUGUCCUUGCUGUCCAGUUCGGUCACGCUCUUUCCCAUAGUGUUGGCUGGCGCUCUCCUACACGGCCGCUUCUAGAAGGCUCCUUCCUGUACACUGUAAAGACUAACAUCCGCGGCCUAGAUGGGGAAAACUGUUUUAGAAAGAGCACACUUUUAUAACUUAAAGGCAGUAAUGUGUACACCUAUCCAUAGAUUCAGUGUAAUUGGGGUGCUGCAAGAACAUAUUUCUAAAUUGCUGAUGGGAUUUCUUACUUGGGCUCCCACCUCACUGGCCACUUCAAACCAGUAGGCCUAUACACCUUGUGGACCCCCUCCAUGGUGGCAGGCCAUGAUGAGGAUGUGUGAAACUGGACUCUGACUCGUUUGUUACCACUGUUCCUGUGUAGAUGGCAGGGUCGUUUUUUUUUUAACUUAUGAAGUGUAAAUUUGCACAGUGAUUGGGUAGUCUACUAAUAUAAAUAAGUUGGUUGAGGUGCAUUGUGGAACAUAAUGUUGUCUGAUCUUUGGCAUGCAUGGCUUUAGCGGUAGUGUUUCUAAUCCUGCAAUGGACACUAAAGCGUAUGUGACUAUUUUAAAGAAUAUCAUUUUUGUUUAAAUUGUCAUGUUAACUAAUUCUUUGAAAUGUACUUGUGUCAAAAUGUAUUUGUUCUUGUAGGCUACAAUAAAAUUAAAUGGGCCUAACUGAUUUGUGUCUUAGUAAAAAGCUUGACGUGCCAACUAAA
Molecule: long non-coding RNA, 1498 nt
Organism: Salvelinus fontinalis (brook trout)
Lineage: Eukaryota; Metazoa; Chordata; Actinopteri; Salmoniformes; Salmonidae
Exons: 2
Source: RefSeq, a predicted model, not a curated record